GUGAUUGACACACAGCCCACUUCAGUGUUUAUCAGUAACCAUGUUUUGCUUCAGAGUUAAUUCUCAACCACUGUCGCUUAGGGAUGUAUUUGCAAAAAGGCAAUGUGAUACAACAGACAAAGGACUGUAAAAUAAACCAACAAAGUUAACACAACAGGAAGUCAUAUAGUUGCCAUGGAGAACAAAUGCACCUGAGCCCACAACACACAAGUUUUAAGGUGACGACCAGGAUUUUGACACUUCAUACUCCUGUGGACAACCAUCAGCUGAACGACACGCUGCACACUCUCAAAUUUUGAAAAAUCAUGGGCUGCAACACAAGUAGGGGGGCCACAGUGGUUGACCCUUCUGAAAAGCCAGAGGACAGGCCGAAAACUGCCACUUCCACCAAGCAGGCGCCUGCAGAGGAAACGAAUGGAACAAAAGAAAAAGAUGAAAAAACGAAGAGUUCCAGCUGAGCGCCACCUUUACACCGAACCUAACUCUUCUUCUUUUCUAUCAAUCAACAAGGAUACAGCACCUCUCUGUAAAAUUGGCCUGUCCGAGGGUGAAGGAGGACCUGUAAGCAGGAUGAGGCGACGCUGCACUACUGUCCAUCAACGUCUGUCAUCUGGGCCAGGCACACAUAAUCAAAUACGCACACUUCUCUAGAAAUCCGACUCCUAUUGUCAAAGUCUAGAAACUAUUUUGUGAUAAAUAUAUCGU
Molecule: long non-coding RNA, 705 nt
Organism: Maylandia zebra (zebra mbuna)
Lineage: Eukaryota; Metazoa; Chordata; Actinopteri; Cichliformes; Cichlidae
Source: RefSeq, a predicted model, not a curated record